Molecule: ribosomal RNA, 374 nt
Filed under: uncultured organism
Description: partial 16S ribosomal RNA
Rfam family: Bacterial small subunit ribosomal RNA
Source: RNAcentral
GUAGGUGGCAAGCGUUGUCCGGAAUUAUUGGGCGUAAAGCGCGCGCAGGCGGUUCUUUAAGUCUGAUGUGAAAGCCCACGGCUCAACCGUGGAGGGUCAUUGGAAACUGGAGAACUUGAGUACAGAAGAGGAAAGCGGAAUUCCACGUGUAGCGGUGAAAUGCGUAGAGAUGUGGAGGAACACCAGUGGCGAAGGCGGCUUUCUGGUCUGUAACUGACGCUGAGGCGCGAAAGCGUGGGGAGCAAACAGGGAUUAGAUACCCUGGUAGUCCACGCCGUAAACGAUGAGUGCUAAGUGUUAGGGGGUUUCCGCCCCCUUAGUGCCUGCAGCUAACGCAUUAAGCACUCCGCCUGGGGAGUACGGCCGCAAGGCUG